GGGACUUCCUAUUUAAUGGUCCUAAUAGUAAAGACAUUACCUUUUAAUGAACACAACCAGUCACGAUGUUUUCAUCUAUCAAACAAAUCACUUCAAAAACCUAGACUACCUAAAACGUAGGCUACCUGGGCACGUUGGCCCACUCCAAAAUAAUUCCAGUACCCAAACAAUGCACUGUGCACCUGCCAUUUGAUGGAGGGAAAGAGACGUUACAAAAUCACAAAAAGUGUAAUGACAUUCGCGAUUGUCAUUAGGCCUACAAUAUUGUAGCCUGAAUUAAUUGAUGCGUCUUGCUGACAAAUGAAAAAUAUAUCAUAAUCGGGACACGUGAAAAGGGGCUGAAAUUGUCACGUUUCUCUAAAGCUGAACCCAGAAGCAGACCAGGACAAGGUGAGUAAAAUGAAGGUGAGUAUUUAUUCACAGACUCGAGGCAGCGGAGGUGAGUUGAUGAGAGUGAAUAGGCAGAUCCAAUGAUGUCACUGAAACCACCGACGACCAGGCAAGGGGGGCGAAUGUUCCGGGAGGAUGACUGUAGACAGCGUAAACAGGGUUGAGUAACCGGCAAGAAGUACAUAACAACAAAACUAACUCUGGUAACAUGAGCUGAUACGCUGACACAACCUAAUGUUCAUUGCUAACGAUCCGGCAGGGAAUGGAUGUCAGGUCAGGGUUUAUGAAGAGAAGAGGUGAUGAUCAGGACCAGGUGUGCAGAUGGCUGAUGAGAUGCAGGUGCGGGUAAUUGAGAGAUCUCCCGCCUAGCUUCGUCGCCCGGCAACCAGACAGGGUGUGUUCAGAAACAACUCCAAAACAGAAAACAGUCAGCUCAGGCAGAACACAGACUCAGGAAGCGGGAUUCAUGACAGGAAUACAGGACAAAAAUACAGCUGUGUCUGUCCGGAGCUCAUUAGUGCGGGGAAACUGUGAGGGUCCAGUUAAAACAAUGUUGCAAGUUCGCUAGCGAGCUGGACCAAGUCGUUACAAUGUUGCAAGUUUGCUAGGGAAAGCUCAAGACAGACAGAGAGAGACAGGAGACAGGCGGAGUAGAGAGAUUAAUGCGAUUGAAAGAACCUGAACAAACUGUCACUGGUUUAAGCCUAAGCACGAAACAUGGAGAUGCCUUCAAAUUAUGUAGGCAACACCACUCAAAUUUACGUAAAAUAAUUCAAAAUAGUCCCUUUAAUAUUCAGAAUGUUGAAUACACUUCAGUGGUGUUAGUCGGAUUUUGAGACAAAGUAUCCACAGAAGUGUUAUUAACCCCAUGUUUUAGGUAUAUACUGUGUAUAUAUAUAAAAAAUUACUACACAAAAUUAGAAACAAUUUACAUCCCUACAUCAAACAUGUCUAACAAAACAAAACACAAGUAUAAACAAGAAAAUACUACUAUAUCCUUACUACUAUAAUACUAUAUCCUUCAUGUUAAAAACAGGAGUAGUGCUCAAAAAGGUAAAUAUGUAUUCUGCAAGGUUUUUCCAAAACUCUAUCACAGAUUUACAUCCAUAGAACAAGUGAGUUAGAUUUUCACCUUUUUCUUUUGCAGAAAACGCAGAUAUCAUCAAUAUCAACAAAUUUGGACAACAUAGAAUUACAUGGAUAUAUCUUAUGUAGAAUCUUAAAGUGCACUUCCUUAAAUUUGUUUGGUAUAAAAUAUCUGUAAGGCUUCAAACAAGCUUUUUCCCCAGACAUAGUCAGGAAUAAGCAUGUUCCAGAAAAUGUUUCCUCUAGGCAUAAAUUGGUUCCGUGAAUGGAAAAUGUGUAUUUGUUACAAGAUUUCUCGAGUAAGUCCACGCCUUUCAAACUGAGUUCUGGAUAAACUCUGUGAUCAUCACCAAAGCUAAGAUUAAUUUUCAUUAGUGUAGUAAGACCACUGGGAAUGGCUUUUUAUCACAGAAAUAAACUCUCUGAAAGUUAUUGGAAACUCAUUCAAUGUUAUAAAUUUGAAAGAAUAUUACCCCUGUUGGUGAAAACAUUAAGAACAAAGUCAAUAUUCCUCUCAUGGCAGCUAGGGUAGAACAAUUACUUAUUCCUUACAGUUAUGCCUGAAUUAUUCCACAAAAGAGCUUUAUGUGGGGUAAAAUUGUACAGGAAACAUUAAAGAUUGUUGGUGAAACCUACACUGAAAAAACGGGACAGAUUUAUGUGAUUUACUCAAACAUGUUUUGUUUCUCCUCACAACACAAUUUCAUUGUUUGCGAUCAAUGCAACACGAAGCAAAAUCUGAUCUACUAGUUUGAAUCAUGUAGUUGGAGUGUGAACCAAUAAAGCUAAUUCAUGACGAGUAAUGAGGAAGAAGUCAAACCGCGUGAGAGAAGAAUCUUCCAGAAAGAUCCUUGGCGCGUUAGCGGAGAAGACAAUAUCUAGAAUCGUGGUCAAGGAGAAACAGAAGAGAGCCUCGAGGACAUGCGGAAAGCUCUACUGUCUGAUGUGAAGAAAAGGAACAACAGAGAGACGGUGAAGUUCAAAAUGGAGAAGACGUUUGCAUACAGGAGACAUUAAGUUGUCCGUGACGCACCCUUGGUAGAGGACUUCAUGGCAAGAUGGCCUGCGCUCUUUGAAGUCAUUGAGGGAAGUUAGCCAUGCUUGUUUUAUUGUUGAUCUAUUGGUCAUGUUAUCUGAGAUUGGUUGGUGAAGGUAGAAGAUUGUUUUCCCUCAGCUUGCCUAAUUGGUAUGAAGUGUUUCCUUUUUCCUUUUUCUUUCUCUUCCUCUCCUGUUCCGUGCCACCUUCAUAUUCUAUCACUAGCUAUUCUAUUACUGUAUCUAUCAUCUCAUCUGUCUUCCAUCUUAUUUCAUUAGCUACGGUUAGAUGCACUUUCUUUUUAUUCAUAAUUGUAUUACUCAGAUUAAAGACUCCAUGUCUCCAGUGAUCAAAUUGGCUAUGUCUCAAAUGUAAUCUGAAUAGAAAUCUUGGUUAGAACCACUUUUCAUUUUAGCCUUGUAAUAGGCGGUGUUCAAAUAUUAUAAACAGUUCAAUUUAGUUGACACUUAAAAGGACUCCAGUCUUGAUUUAUUUUUGUCUGUAUCAUGCUCUUGUGCUUCAUGAGCUAUACUUUCUGCAGUCUAGAGUCCCUAACUGUAAACACUUCAUUGACGAAUGAUUCAUUUUAUAUGAUUGACAAGUUUUGCCUUUGUGUCUUCUUCAGGGCAUGGAUGAAGAGUCCACCAAGGCAGCUGUUGAGGACACUACUGUGGGGAUCUACAUUAUCAAAGACCAUUUCGCGAGAGAAGACCCAGAUGCAGACAGUGUCGAAGACAACUCUUCAAUUCCUGGUCUCCCGUGAUCUGCCACGGGUCCGGAAGACGUGCUGCACCAUGAGCUGGGACAUUUCUUUGGCAGAGGGUAGCUUGGGG
RNAcentral lists this long non-coding RNA (3345 nucleotides) under Salmo salar (Atlantic salmon). RNAcentral describes it as "lncRNA (ENSSSAG00000116604.1)". Lineage: Eukaryota; Metazoa; Chordata; Actinopteri; Salmoniformes; Salmonidae. The record is from RNAcentral.